GACGAACGCUGGCGGCGUGCCUAAUACAUGCAAGUUGAGCGCUGAAGGUUGGUACUUGUACCAACUGGAUGAGCAGCGAACGGGUGAGUAACGCGUGGGGAAUCUGCCUUUGAGCGGGGGACAACAUUUGGAAACGAAUGCUAAUACCGCAUAAAAACUUUAAACACAAGUUUUAAGUUUGAAAGAUGCAAUUGCAUCACUCAAAGAUGAUCCCGCGUUGUAUUAGCUAGUUGGUGAGGUAAAGGCUCACCAAGGCGAUGAUACAUAGCCGACCUGAGAGGGUGAUCGGCCACAUUGGGACUGAGACACGGCCCAAACUCCUACGGGAGGCAGCAGUAGGGAAUCUUCGGCAAUGGACGAAAGUCUGACCGAGCAACGCCGCGUGAGUGAAGAAGGUUUUCGGGUCGUAAAACUCUGUUGGUAGAGAAGAACGUUGGUGAGAGUGGAAAGCUCAUCAAGUGACGGUAACUACCCAGAAAGGGACGGCUAACUACGUG
This 497-nucleotide ribosomal RNA is filed under the name uncultured bacterium. Its description in RNAcentral is "partial 16S ribosomal RNA". It matches the Rfam family "Bacterial small subunit ribosomal RNA", at positions 28 to 507 of the family's 1533-position model. The record is from RNAcentral.